Arachis duranensis is the source of this 451-nucleotide long non-coding RNA. RefSeq lists it as uncharacterized. NCBI's taxonomy places the organism in Eukaryota, Viridiplantae, Streptophyta, Magnoliopsida, Fabales, Fabaceae. The transcript is spliced from 2 exons. The record is from RefSeq and is a predicted model, not a curated record.
GGUUUACUUCUAUAAUAUAUUAAUAUCUAUCCACUAUCCGGUAUGUUCUAGUUGCCAAUAAUUACUCUGAUUCAUUGGUCCUUACCGUUUAUUUCACCUAGCCACCCUCCUCUGCUUACCUUCCAUGCCUUUGUCAUGUAAAGGAGGAUAAAGAAUAAAAAGAAAUGAGUGAAGAAUCCUGUAUACGGGAAGAGGAGUGGCCCAAACGAGUUGUGGAUUAGCAUUUAGCGAUUGGCAGAAUCUUAGUAGACAACAUUAUUUACAGCCCGACCGAAAAAAGAAGACAAGCAGAAUCAAAACAAAAGAGGGGACAAUGGCCAUUGGCCAACAAUGUAUCUGAUUUACCACCAUACUGCAAUGUUCUAAACACGAAUCAUCACACAUUGUGAACAUCCUCAUAAUUAUCUUUUAUUCUCUUUGAUGUGUUAUGUUGAAAAUACCUUUUCUAUUU